GUUGUCGAAGAAGGGGGGAGGCUACACGUAUUCCGUUUCCUUCUCUCUCUCUCUCUCUCUCUCUCUCUCUCUCUCUCUCUUGCGAAGAACCCACACUCUUCUGCGUUUUCUCUACCGAAACACACUGCUUUCCUCUCCUCUUACUUAUGUUCGUCUCCACCGAGCCCAAUCCAUCUCAGCCCCUCACGACCGGCGCCUUCAUCCAGUAGCAGAAUCGUUGCUGCUCAGUUCUGAUCAAAGCUUCGACACCGGCUGUGAAGCUUAGCCACCCGACGCCUCAUUUCCCUUCCAUUGAGGAAGGAUCCAGGUAAGUGGGCUGUUCUUGUAGUCUCGCGUCCCUGAUUUUGCUCGCUUGGUGCUGCAUGUUGGUUUAGGGUUGGGUAGUUGCGAUUGGGGGUGCAGGGGAUGGCUAGUAAAGCCCUGUCCAUGGUUGGGAUCGAUAGAUGGGGACGCUGGUUGCUGUCCGAUGGGUAAACCAGAGGGAGCCAUUUGUGCGUGCGUUCUCUAUUCUUGUUUUUGUUACACGAUUUCUUCAACUCCGUCUUCUGGGUUCGACCUUCCUCGAGCGGCGGGUCGCUGUAUCCAAAGACUUACGAUGUUUCUGGGGCUGUUAUUUUGUUAUCGUUGAAGAGUUUUGGGUCGUUGGACUCAAAAUUAAGUAAUGUAACGCCGUUCUUGAUUAGAGUUGGUUAAAAUAGAUUCUGGUUUUUGUGUUCAGCUAUUGCCGGGAGGAUAUGGUGUUGGGUUCUAACCAGGUCGGCAACCCACGAACCCCAAGCACUGUGAGUGGCACCAUUGGGCUAAGUUUUGGUCACGAGUAUUGAGGAAUGAGGUGAUUGAGGGGUAGUAGUAUCAAAAGGGAAAUUGCCAAGUGUUAGAUUAUUUCAUUUUUCUUUUGGGUGCGGAGGAGGGCUGGUUUAGUCCCAUCAAAUUUAAUUGAAAAUGAAGCUAGUAUGUAGUCUAGAACUUGUGAUUUUAAUGUGUUCUUGAGUUAAGAUUCACACGUGGUUGGAGUAUUGCAAUUUAGUUUGCAAUUCAGUAUAGAUUCCUAGAACUAGAUUUACUGGACUCUCUUUGUUUGUAAAUGUUAUGACUUUUGCCGUGGAAGAAUUCUAAGUGAGUGGAAAUAUAUUAUGACUACUCCUAGAUGCUGUGUAAGUGUGCUGAGAUGCUACAUGAUGAAUUUGUAGUAAAACAAAUGGUUUGAUUGUGCUGAAAAUGAAGAGAAAAGCAUUGGAUGUUUUCUAUCUUAGAGAAACAUGGAUAGAAAUUAGUUUAUAUUGUGUCACUUUAAUUUCUAGAGAUGAAGAUGAGGAAAAAAACCAUUUGACUUAAGAUAAAAUCCCUUAUAUUCAAUUUAACUCAUAGUUAUAGUUAUAUGAAUACAAGAACAUGUAUAUAGAAGCAAUGCAUUUUAAAACAGAGAAACUGUUCUGUAGAAAAUAGCCUGACCUUUGAUGAUUCUUCGAAUUUUCUGUAAUUAUCUAUCCGAAAUUUGACUUUAUGUCCUUGUUGAAAGUUGUAAAUGACAUCUUUAGAAGUAACAUAUUAAAAUUUGAGAAGAAACGGACAAGUGUUGGCUGGUGAAACGAAUUUCUUCUGUAGAUACUAAAUCUGAGAGUUGCUGCAGAAUUUUGAGGAGAAGACAACAAAUUACUGCUCUUAAUACACUGAGAUUUAGGCUUAAGUUUCUUCACGAAAAAUGUUAAUCUAGGUCCCUUUUAUAACGUACUGAAAUUUCGUAAUAUUCUGAUGAGGGUUGAUAUACUUUCUAUGUCUGUGAACAAAAUUGCUCAUUUUGUCCAUAACCUGUUGAUCCGAGAAUAUAUAUUAGUUGUUGUCUCUUGUAUUGGAUUCUUAAUUGGCUGAGAUUGUUGGUGCUGCAACAAGGUGGAACUAUGAAUGUAUGAUUGGCUAAUGAGCCAAUGUGAGAUCCCGGGUGUCGGGAUGCCUGGAGAGGGGUGAAAAGAAGUAACAGUGUUCUCUCCAGAGGUCUGAGAAGGGUUGAACAACUUCUCAGGGGACCUCGUGAUACCAGGUUGGGUGUGAGGGGUUCAGGGUGGAGUGUCGUCUCCCCCUGGGUGAUUGUUGCAGCUAGGUUUUUGUGGAUUCAAUAACUUGAUGAUUUUGUUUACUUAUUUGCCAUGUUUUUGGCCAAUCCAAGUUAGGACUAACCGCCCACUUGCUGAGUUUUUAUUUUAAAAACUCACACUUGUUAUUAUGUUGUUUCUUCAAAGUAGAAGAUGUCGACUGCACCGCCUACCCCGCCCGCUACCACAACGACCAUCUUCUAUGGCUCCCCCGCCGACUUUGUGUGGCGGCAAGAGGACUUCCUGGACUGAUAUUUCCCGGGAGUAAUCUUUGUCAAAUACACCUCUUGUUUGACAAUAGAUACAGGGGCGCCUACGGGACCGGCUUAUAUGGUCUUCGUUGCGCUUUAAGCUCGGGUAGAUGGACGGCUGGUGGGACCCUUAAUGUUAUAUGAUGAUGGACCGGGGCAGGGUGGUAGUCCUGCGGAGUAGGAGGUAGCAGAGAAGUGCUGGACGUGUGGGAAGAUUUUUGUUUUUUGUUGUUUAACAACAUGUACAUACCAAGGAGAGGCGGGAUAAUUUGUGUUCGUGGUUUAGAGUGUUUUUUGUGGAAAUCCCCUCUCAGUAACAUUUUCCCCAUGUGUAAAGAAAUCAAGUUUAUAAUAAUAGAGCCAAGUAGCUCAGUUUCUUAUGACUCUGCUUGAUAGGAAUUUAUUUUUUUUAAUUCUUGAAGUAAAAUUAAGAUGAGUGAAAUCAAGAUAUAUGCGAUCUAGGGGAUGUCACAAUUGAGUGGUAUCAGAGCUUGGUUUUAAUUGGAGUGAUAAGGUUUAGGAUUUUAGAUGAAUGCUAGUGUACCUGAGUGUUUAGACAUGAUUGUCCAUGUAAAUUGGGACAAUUAUUGCUUUGAGCGGUUAGUUUUAUGAUCGUGUGGUUUGAGUAAUGUGGGAAUAUUACGUUACUUUUAACUAACAUCAUAAAUUUCUAAUUCCUAAUAUGGGUAAUGUGCAGAAAAUUUAGGAGAAAGAUGGUGCGAUCAAGGAGCUCAUCUCCGCCGAGGAGAGAAGCGACUGAGUCGGGGGCGGCUGCAUCAGGGGCAGGGCCGAGGAUGGAGGAUGUGUUGCAAGCCUUGGUUUCUUUGGGGAAUUUGGUGGAGAGACAGGCCCAAAUUCCACUGCAACCACCACCUCUGCCGCCACCCCAACAGCCACUUCUGGCGGAGCAUCGCACCCAGGGAUUGGUAGAGCAGUUCCUGAAAUUAAAACCACAAAAAUUCUCGGGAAUGGGACGUCCCGAGGAAGCGGAGUAGUGGAUUGAUAGUAUGAAAAGAAUUUUCAAAUUGCUUGGUUGCAAUGACCAAGAUAAGAUAACACUUGCUGAAUAUCAGUUGGAAGGGAAUGCCAUGUAUUGGUGGAGAGCAUCGAAGGAUAUCAUAUUUCCAACAGGUACGGAAAUGGUAUGGGAUGGGUUCGUGAAAGCUUUCUACAAGAAACAUUUUUCUGAGUGUACGAAGGAUCGAAAGAUUACUGAGUUUGUUCAACUGAGUUAAAGGGAACUAACUGUGGAUCAAUAUGAGGCAAAAUUUUCAGAACUUUCUAGGUAUGCUCCUAAGUUGAUUGAGGAUCCCGAGGAUAAAGCAAAGAGGUUUCUGAAUGGCCUAAAGACUAAUAUUAGGAAACAAUUAGUGCCUUUAGGUAUAAGAGACUAUAAUGAAGGGUAUGCUCGAGCUCAAUGGGUCGAGCAAGAACUCAUUAGAGAGCAGAUGGAGGAUAGGGAAAAGGUCAGAUCGGGGCUGCAAGGAGCCACAAGGGAUGUGCAUAGCGGCAAGCGACCUUUUCCAUCUCGGGACACACCUUGGAGUUCCAAGAAGAGGCCCGCUUAUGGAAGUUCAGGAGGGACAAGUAAGGGACAAUACGUGAAUCGGGCUAUAUUUUAGAACGACUUAUGUCCACGAUGUAACCGGCGACAUGGACCAGGGCCUUACCUUGAUCCCUUGAGAUGUUAUAAGUGUGGAAAGGAGGGUCAUUUCAAAAGAGAAUGUCCCCAAGGGAGACAACAAGCCAACAAUAAUCAAUCGCAUCAUGCACUGCCACGCUCGAAGGGAACACUUCCACCAGGAAAGACGCAAAGACCGCCAGCAAAAGGAAAAGUGUAUGCAAUGACUCAGGAGGAAGCGGAAGCUUCCGAGACCGUUAUCACAGGUACGAUUUCCUUGAAUGAUCAAAAGGCUUAUGCAUUAUUUGAUUCGGGCGCGACCCAUUCCUUUAUUGCUGAAAGAUAUAAGCGAUUACAUAAUCUAGAAGUGACACCUCUCAUAACCCCUCUCAGUGUUUCCACACCAUUAAGGGAUGAAGUAUUAUCUACAUUAGUUUGUGAAAAUUGUGAAAUCUCAAUAGGGGGAAUGACACAUUCUAUUGAUUUGGUAGAAAUAGGUAUGUAUGACUAUGACACCAUUAUAGGCAUGGACUGGCUUAGUAAGCAGCAAGCCAUUGUAGAUUGUUAUAGAAAAAGGAUUCAAUUUAACCCCUAUGAUGAACCUAAUUAUGAGUUCUUGGGAAAUAAACUGACACUCUCCAUGAACCUUAUUUCGGCAAUGGAAGCACAUAGACCCUUAGAUAGGGGAUGUCAAGGAUAUUUAGCGAUGGUUAAGGAUAAGGAAAUGAAAGAGGCGAAGCUAGAGGAAAUUAGUAUAAUACGUGAAUUUCCUAAUGUAUUUCUAGAAGAACUCCCUGGAUUACCUCCAGACCGAGAGGUUGAGUUUGCUAUAGAAAUACUUCCAGGGACGGAACCUGUAUCAAAAGCUCCAUAUCGGAUGUCUUUGGCAGAAUUGAAGGAGCUAAAAAUCCAGCUGCAAGAAUUAUUGGAUAAAGGAUUUAUAGGACCGAGUGUAUCUCCGUGGGGGGCACUAGUCCUGUUUGUGAAAAAGAAUGAUGGAUCAAUGCGUCUUUGCAUUGAUUAUAGAAAAUUGAACCAAGUUACAGUUAAGAAUAAAUACCCCCUACUAAGGAUUGAUGAUCUAUUUGAUCAACUAGCUGGUAGCUCGGUCUUUUCAAAAAUUGACUUGAGGUCUAGGUACCAUCAAUUAAGAGUUAAAGAGGAAGAUGUUCCCAAAACAGUUUUUAGGACUUGGUAUGGGCACUAUGAAUUUCUAGUCAUGCCCUUUGGUCUGACCAAUGUGCCUGCUGCUUUCAUGGAUCUGAUGAAUAGGAUAUUUAUAUCUUAUCUGGAUCAAUUUGUGAUUGUUUUUAUAGAUGACAUUUUGGUAUAUUCAAAAGGGUCAGAAGAGCACAAGGAACACCUAUGCAUCGUGCUACGGACCCUUAGAGAAAACUAAUUAUAUGCCAAAUUUAGUAAAUGUGAGUUCUGGUUAAACCAAGAAACAUUUUUGGGUCAUGUAGUGUUAGAAAAAGGAUUAACAAUGGACCCAGCAAAGAUUGAGACCGUAAUUGAAUGGCCAAGACCCACUACACCGACGGAGAUUCGGAGUUUCUUAGGGCUUGCAGGGUAUUAUCGAAUGUUCAUAGAAGGAUUCGCACGACUUGCAAGUCCCUUGACCCAUUUGACUAAGAAGAGUGUGAAAUUUGAAUGGAAUGAUAAAUGUGAACAAAGUUUUCAGGAACUUAAAAGAAGAUUGACCUCGGCACCAAUUUUAACCCUACCUUUAGGAUCUGGUGGAUUCACAGUGUAUAGUGAUGCUUCCCACCAAGGACUCGGUUGUGUCUUGAUGCAACAUGGAAAGGUCAUAACUUAUGCAUCGAGACAACUGAAACCUUAUGAAAAGAACUAUCCUACCCAUGAUUUAGAGUUGGCUGCAAUUAUUCAUGCAUUAAAAAUCUUGAGACAUUAUUUAUAUGGGGAAAAAUUUGAAAUUUACACCGAUCAUAAAAGUUUGAAAUAUUUAUUUUCGUAAAAGGAGUUAAAUAUGAGGCAAAGAAGAUGGAUGGAGUUAUUUAAGGAUUAUGAUUGUGAGAUAGUGUACCAUCCAAGAAAAGCUAAUAAAGUGGCAGAUGCCCUUAGUCGUAAGUCGGAUGUGAGUAUGAAAAAUUUGAGAGUGAAAGAAUGGGAUCUUUUGAAAACCAUUGCCAACUCUGAAUUUAGAUUAGAGGUAGAUCACUUUUCAGGUGUGUUGGCAACUUUGAGGAUUGAACCGCGGGUGAUCAAAAAAAUACAGAUCCUACAACAGUCAGACCCGAGACUGUUAAAAAUUCGAGAUGAAGUGCAAAGUGGAGGUAGGGAGGAAUUUCAGUUGUCUGAGGACGGAAUUGUCAGAUAUCGAGGAUGUCUUUAUGUGCCAAAAGAUAAGGAACUUAGGAGGGAGAUAUUGUCAGAGGCACAUAAAAGUGCUUAUAGCAUUCACCCCGGAGGUACGAAAAUGUACCGAAAUUUGCGGCAACACUACUGGUGGAAUGGUAUGAAAAAAUGACAUCGCUAGAUUUGUUUCUCAGUGCUUGACUUGUCAACAAGUGAAAGCUGAACACCAAAAGCCUGCUGAGCUAUUGAAACCCCUAGAUAUUCCAGAAUGGAAAUGGGAGCAUGUUACUAUGGACUUUGUGCAGGGACUCCCAAGGACUUCUAGUGGACAUAAUUCGAUAUGGGUAGUAGUGGAUCAUCUGACCAAAUCUGCUCACUUUAUAGCAGUUCGAACAGAUUAUUCGAUUGAUAAGUACGCAGAAAUAUAUGUGAGACAAAUUGUCCGUCUACACGAUGUUCCCGUCACUAUCACUUCUGAUCGAGACCCAAGAUUUACUUCAAAACUUUGGCGGAGCUUACAAGUUGCUUUAGGGACUAAGCUCCAGUUUAGUACAGCCUUUCAUCCUCAGACUGACGGACAAUCUGAAAGAGUAAUCCAAAUUUUGGAAGAUAUGCUAAGAGCCUAUCUGUUGGAUUUUAAAGGAAACUGGGAUGAAAAAUUACCUUUGGUGGAAUUUGCAUAUAAUAAUAGUUUUCAGCAAAAUAUUGGAGCUGCCCCAUUUGAAGCACUGUACGGGAGAGCCUGUAGAACCCCAGUAUGCUGGAAUGAGGUAGGCGAGUGAAGAUUAACCGGACCCGAAUUAGUCCAAGUUACAGUAGAUGCUGUGAAAACUAUUAAGGAGUGACUAAGGACUGCCCAAAGUCGACAGAAAAGUUAUGCAGACAAACGCAGAAGGCCUUUGGAAUUUGUUGUGGGAGAUAAAGUUUUUCUCAAAGUCUCACCGGUUAAAGGCGUAUCAAGAUUUGGUAAAAAGGGCAAGUUGAGUCCACGUUUUAUUGGACCAUUUGAAAUACUUGAUAGGAUUGGGGAAGUAGCCUAUAGAUUAGCAUUACCCCCAAAGUUAGCAGGCAUACAUGAUGUGUUUCAUGUUUCCAUGCUAAGAAAAUAUCAUCCCGACCCUACUCACGUAUUGGACUACGAGACUAUUGAGGUGGAUCAAAACGUGAAUUAUACAGAAGAACUUGUGCAAAUUUUGAGACGAAGAGAGCAAGUGUUGAGGACAAAAGUGAUUCCAUUAGUUAAGGUGUUGUGGCGACAUCAUGGCCUUGAAGAAGCGACAUGGGAAAGAGAAGAAGAAAUCCGUCAACGAUACCCACAUCUGUUUAGUUAGUGUAUAAUUUCGAGGACGAAAUUUCCUAAGAGGGGAAUAAUUUGUGACGCCCAAAAUUUCAUUAAUUUCAUUAGUAGAUUAAGCGUAUUUAAGACCUUAUAUAUAUACAUAUAUAUAUGUAUAUAUAUGUAUAUGUAUAUAUGUAAAUAAUAAAAUAAAAUAGUAAUAACCCAGAAAAAUAAUCAAAACUCAAGAAGAAAUAUUUAGUCAAAAAAAAAAAGAUUGUCAAAAGACUUUUCUCCGUAAAGCAAGAAUAUACGAAAUCCCACCACUUCUCCCCCACGUGAUAGUAGAAAUUAAAAAAAAAGGGGGAGAAAUUAAAAAAAAAAUUAAGAGAAACAUUUGUUCUGCUUCCCCACGUUGCGUCCAGAUGUUGUCGAAGAAGGGGGGAGGCUACAAGUAUUCCGUUUUCUUUUCUCUCUCUCCCUCUCUCUCUCUCUCUCUCUCUCUCUCUCUCUCUUUUGCGAAGAACCCACACUCUUCUGCGUUUUCUCUACCGAAACACACCGCUUUCCUCUCCUCUUACUUCUGUUCGUCUCCAUUGAGCCCAACCCAUCUCAGCCCCUCACGACCGGUGCCUUCAUCCAGUAGCAGAAUCGUUGCUGCUCAAUUCUGAUCAAAGCUUCGACGCCGGUUGUGAAGCUUAGCCGCCCGACGCCUCAUUUCCCUUCCAUUGACGAAGGAUCCAGGCAAGUGGGUUGUUCUUGUAGUCUCGCGUCCCUGAUUUUGCUCGCUUGGUGCUGCAUGUUGGUUUAGGGUUGGGUAGUUGCGAUUGGGGGUGCAGGGGAUGGCUAGUAAAGCCCUGUCCAUGGUUGGGACCGGUAGAUGGGGAAGCUGGUUGCUGUCGAUGGGUAAACCAGAGAGAGCCAUUUGUGCGUGCGUUCUCUAUUCUUGUUUUUGUUACACGAUUUCUUCAACUCCGUCUUCUGGGUUCGACCUUCCUCGAGCGGCGGGUCGCUGUAUCCAGAGAGUUAUGAUGUUUCUGGGGCUGUUUUUUUGUUAUCGUUGAGGAGCUUUGGGUCGUUGGACUCAAAAUUAAGUAAUAUAACGCCGUUCUUGAUUAGAGUUGGUUAAAAUAGAUUUUGAUUUUUGUGUUCAGCCAUUGCCGGGGGAUAUGGUGCUGGGUUCUAACCAGGUCGGCAACCCACGAACCCCAAGCGCUGUGAGUGGCACCAUUGGGCUAAGUUUUGGUCACAAGUAUUGAGGAAUGAGGUGAUUGAGGGGUAAUAGUAUCAAAAGGGAAAUUGCCAAGUGUUAGAUUAUUUCAUUUUUCUUUUGGGUGCGGAGGAGGGCUGGUUUAGUCCCAUUAAAUUUAAUUGAAAAUAAAGUUAGUAUGUAGUCUAGAACUUGUGAUUUUAAUGUGUUCUUGAGUUAAGAUUCGCACGUGGUUGGAGUAUUGCAAUUUAGUUUGCAAUUCAGUAUAAAUUCUUAGAACUAGAUUUACUGGACUCUCUUUGUUUGUAAAUGUUAUAACUUUUGCUGUGGAAGAAUUCUAAGUGAGUGGAAAUGUAUUAUGACUACUCCUAGAUGUUGUGUAAGUGUGCUAAGAUGCUACAUGAUGAAUUUGUAGUAAAACAAAUGGUUUGGUUGUGCUGAAAAUGAAGAGAAAAGCAUUGGAUGUUUUCUGUCUUAGAGAAACAUGGAUAGAAAUUAGUUUAUAUUGUGUCACUUUAAUUUCUAGAGAUAAAGAUGAGGAAAAUAACCAUUUGACUUAAGAUAACAUCCGUUAAAUUCAGUUUAACUCAUAAUUGUAGUUAUAUGAAUACAAGAACAUGUAUAUAGAAGCAAUGCAUUUUAAAACAGAGAAACAGUUCUGUAGAAAACGGCCUGACCUUUGAUGGUUCUUUGAAUUUUCUAUAAUUAUCUAUCCGAAAUUUGACUUUGUGUCCUUGAUGAAAGUUGUAAAUGACAUCUUUAGUAGUAACAUAUUAAAAUUUUAGAAGAAACGGACAAGUGUUGGCUGGUGAAACGAACUUCUUCUAUAGAUACUAAAUCUGAGAGUUGCUGCAGAAUUUUGAGGAGAAGACAACAAAUUACUGCUCUUAAUACACUGAGAUUUAGGCUUAAGUUUCUUCACAAAAAAUGUUAAUCUAGGUCCCUUUUAUAACGUACUGAAAUUUCGUAAUAUUCUGAUAAGGGUUGAUGUACUUUCUAUGUCUGUGAACAAAACUGCUCAUUUUGUUCAUAACCUGUUGAUCCGAGAAUAUAUAUUAGUUGUUGUCUCUUGUAUUGGAUUCUUAAUUGGCUGAGAUUGUUGGUGCUGCAACAAGGUGGAACUAUGAAUGUAUGAUUGGCUAAUGAGCCAAUGUGAGACCCCAGGUGUCGGGAUGCCUGGAGAGUGGUGAAAAGAAGUAACAGUGUUCUCUCCAGAGGUCUGAGAAGGGUUGAACAACUUCUCAGGGGACCUCGUGAUACCAGGUUGGGUUCAAGAGGUUCAGGGUGGAGUGUUGUCUCCCCCUGGGUGAUUGUUGCAGCUAGGUUUCUGUGGAUUCAAUAACUUGAUGAUUUUGUUUACUUAUUUGCCAUGUUUUUGGCCAAUCCACGUUAGGACUAACCGCCCAUUUGCUGAGUUUUUAUUUUAAAAAUUCACACUUGUUAUUAUGUUGUUUCUUCAGAGUAGAAGAUGUCGACUGCACCGCCUACCCCGCCCACGCCGACUUUGUGUGGCGGCAAGAGGACUUCCUGGACCGACAUUUCCCGGGAGUAAUCUUUAUCAAAUACACAUCUUGUUUGACAAUAGAUACAGGGGCGCCUACGGGACCGGCUUAUAUGGUCUUCGUUACCCUUUACGCUCGGGUAGAUGGACGGCUGGUGGGACCCUUGAUGCUAUAUGAUGAUGGACCGGGGCAGGGUGGUAGUCCUGCGGAGUAGGAGGUAGCAGAGAAGUGCUGGACGUGUGGGAAGAUUUUUGUUUUUGGUUGUUUAACAACAUGUACAUACCAAGGAGAGGCGGGAUAAUUUGUGUUCGUGGUUUAGAGUGUUUUUUGUGGAAAUCCCCCUCUCAGUAACAUCUUCACCAUGUGUAAAGAAAUCAAGUUUAUGAUAAUAGAGCCGAGUAGUUCAGUUUCUUA
RNAcentral lists this long non-coding RNA (10680 nucleotides) under Eucalyptus grandis. RNAcentral describes it as "long non-coding RNA (EGRA_LNC005003)". The record is from RNAcentral. Lineage: Eukaryota; Viridiplantae; Streptophyta; Magnoliopsida; Myrtales; Myrtaceae.